GAUGAACGCUGGCGGCGUGCCUAAUACAUGCAAGUCGAGCGAACAGAUGAGGAGCUUGCUCCUCUGACGUUAGCGGCGGACGGGUGAGUAACACGUGGAUAACCUACCUAUAAGACUGGGAUAACUUCGGGAAACCGGAGCUAAUACCGGAUAAUAUAUUGAACCGCAUGGUUCAAUAGUGAAAGACGGUUUUGCUGUCACUUAUAGAUGGAUCCGCGCCGCAUUAGCUAGUUGGUAAGGUAACGGCUUACCAAGGCAACGAUGCGUAGCCGACCUGAGAGGGUGAUCGGCCACACUGGAACUGAGACACGGUCCAGACUCCUACGGGAGGCAGCAGUAGGGAAUCUUCCGCAAUGGGCGAAAGCCUGACGGAGCAACGCCCGUGAGUGAUGAAGGUCUUCGGAUCGUAAAACUCUGUUAUUAGGGAAGAACAAAUGUGUAAGUAACUAUGCACGUCUUGACGGUACCUAAUCAGAAAGCCACGGCUAACUACGUG
This 496-nucleotide ribosomal RNA is filed under the name uncultured bacterium. RNAcentral's name for it is "partial 16S ribosomal RNA". It matches the Rfam family "Bacterial small subunit ribosomal RNA", at positions 28 to 507 of the family's 1533-position model. The record is from RNAcentral.